CACGUAGGCGGAUCGUUAAGUCGGGGGUGAAAUCCCAGAGCUCAACUCUGGAACUGCCUUCGAUACUGGCGAUCUUCGAGUCCGGGAGAGGUGAGUGGAACUCCGAGUGUAGAGGUGAAAUUCGUAGAUAUUCGGAAGAACACCAGUGGCGAAGGCGGCUCACUGGCCCGGUACUGACGCUGAGGUGCGAAAGCGUGGGAGCAAACA
RNAcentral lists this ribosomal RNA (207 nucleotides) under uncultured bacterium. Its description in RNAcentral is "partial 16S ribosomal RNA". It matches the Rfam family "Bacterial small subunit ribosomal RNA", at positions 568 to 774 of the family's 1533-position model. The record is from RNAcentral.